AUUGAACGCUGGCGGCAUGCUUUACACAUGCAAGUCGAACGGUAACAGGCCGCAAGGUGCUGACGAGUGGCGAACGGGUGAGUAAUGCAUCGGAACGUGCCCAGUCGUGGGGGAUAACUACUCGAAAGAGUAGCUAAUACCGCAUACGAUCUAUGGAUGAGAGCGGGGGACCGUAAGGCCUCGCGCGAUUGGAGCGGCCGAUGUCAGAUUAGGUAGUUGGUGGGGUAAAGGCUCACCAAGCCAAGGAUCUGUAGCUGGUCUGAGAGGACGACCAGCCACACUGGGACUGAGACACGGCCCAGACUCCUACGGGAGGCAGCAGUGGGGAAUUUUGGACAAUGGGCGCAAGCCUGAUCCAGCAAUGCCGCGUGCAGGAAGAAGGCCUUCGGGUUGUAAACUGCUUUUGUACGGAACGAAACGGCUCUGGUUAAUACCCGGGGCUAAUGACGGUACCGGAAGAAUAAGCACCGGCUAACUACGUG
Molecule: ribosomal RNA, 482 nt
Filed under: uncultured bacterium
Lineage: Bacteria
Description: partial 16S ribosomal RNA
Rfam family: Bacterial small subunit ribosomal RNA
Source: RNAcentral